This 441-nucleotide ribosomal RNA is filed under the name uncultured bacterium. Its description in RNAcentral is "partial 16S ribosomal RNA". It matches the Rfam family "Bacterial small subunit ribosomal RNA", at positions 28 to 507 of the family's 1533-position model. The record is from RNAcentral.
GAUGAACGCUGGCGGCGUGCCUAAUACAUGCAAGUCGAACGGGGAGUAGCAAUACUCUUAGUGGCGAACGGGUGAGUAACGCGUUGGUACCUGCCCCGAAGCGGGGGAUAACGGACCGAAAGGUCCGCUAAUACCCCAUGUGCUCGGUAACGAGUAAAGGUGAAAACCACUUUGGGAGGGGCAUGCGUCCCAUCAGCUAGUUGGUAAGGUAACGGCUUACCAAGGCGAUGACGGGUAGGGGACCUGAGAGGGUGGCCCCCCACAAUGGAACUGAAACACGGUCCAUACACCUACGGGUGGCAGCAGUAGGGAAUAUUGGUAAUGGGCGCAAGCCUGAACCAGCAACGCCGCGUGUGCGAUGACGGCCUUCGGGUUGGAAAGCACUUUUGACUGGGACGAGGAAGGACGGUACCGGUCGAAUCAGCCUCGGCUAACUACGUG